GAGUUUGAUCGUGGCUCAGGGUUAACGCUGGCGGUGCGCAUAACACAUGCAAGUCGAGCGAGGGCUUAUUUCUCGCAAGAGAGAUGAGUUCCUAGCGGCGAACGGGUGAGUAACACGUGGGCAACCUUUCCUAUCGCGGGGGAUAACACCGGGAAACCGAUGCUAAUACCGCAUGUCGUCACUGACCGCAUGGUUGGUGAAGAAAGCAGCAAUGCACGAUGGGGUGGGCCCGCGGCCUAUCAGCUAGUCGGUGGGGUAACGGCCUACCGAGGCGAUGACGGGUAGCUGGUCUGAGAGGACGGCCAGCCACACGGGGGACUGAGACACGGCCCCGACUCCUACGGGAGGCAGCAGUGAGGAAUCUUCCGCAAUGGGCGAAAGCCUGACGGAGCGACACCGCGUGUGGGAUGAAGUCUUUCGGGAUGUAACCACUGUCGGAGGGGAGACAAAAAGACGGUACCCUCCAAGAAAGCCCGGCUAACUACGUGCCAGCCGCCGCCGUAAC
This 505-nucleotide ribosomal RNA is filed under the name uncultured bacterium. Its description in RNAcentral is "bacterial SSU rRNA". It matches the Rfam family "Bacterial small subunit ribosomal RNA", at positions 9 to 524 of the family's 1533-position model. The record is from RNAcentral.